AGGGGUGUGACUUAGUGGUAGAGCACUUGCCUGGCAACCCUUUCCUAGUGUGUGCAAGGCCCUGGGUUCCAUCCCCAGCACCUUCU
Molecule: transfer RNA, 86 nt
Filed under: Heterocephalus glaber (naked mole-rat)
Lineage: Eukaryota; Metazoa; Chordata; Mammalia; Rodentia; Bathyergidae
Rfam family: tRNA
About the family: Transfer RNA (tRNA) molecules are approximately 80 nucleotides in length. Their secondary structure includes four short double-helical elements and three loops (D, anti-codon, and T loops).
Source: Rfam by way of RNAcentral